Myotis davidii is the source of this 75-nucleotide non-coding RNA. Lineage: Eukaryota; Metazoa; Chordata; Mammalia; Chiroptera; Vespertilionidae. The record is from Rfam.
GGCGGUUCUUCGGUGACACACCGUGGAAUAGGACUCCCUCUUCUCUGGUUCUGAGUGUGUCACCCAACAACCACA